CAUGCAGGUAGAACUGAGACUUGCUUAUGAGCAAUAGAAAAUGCAAAGGUGCGGUGAACUCACAAGCGUAAUGUGCUACAUGAGAGGCAAGUUUUUCGCUAGCAGCACAAGGGUCUCUGGCCCAAUGAGCAGAGUUCCUUGCUACAAGU
This 149-nucleotide small nucleolar RNA is filed under the name Otolemur garnettii (small-eared galago). Lineage: Eukaryota; Metazoa; Chordata; Mammalia; Primates; Galagidae. The record is from RNAcentral.